RNAcentral lists this ribosomal RNA (440 nucleotides) under uncultured bacterium. RNAcentral describes it as "partial 16S ribosomal RNA". It matches the Rfam family "Bacterial small subunit ribosomal RNA", at positions 338 to 795 of the family's 1533-position model. The record is from RNAcentral.
CCUACGGGAGGCAGCAGUGGGGGAUAUUGCACAAUGGGGGAAACCCUGAUGCAGCGACGCCGCGUGUGGGAAGACGGUCUUCUGGAUUGUAAACCACUGUCCCCAGGGACGAAAAUGACGGUACCUGGGGAGGAAGCUCCGGCUAACUACGUGCCAGCAGCCGCGGUAAUACGUAGGGAGCAAGCGUUGUCCGGAAUUACUGGGUGAAAAGGGAGCGUAGGCGGGGAUGCAAGUUGGGUGUCAAAACUACCGGCUCAACCGAUAGUCGCACUCAAAACUGCAGCUCUUGAGUGAAGUAGAGGCAGGCGGAAUUCCUAGUGUAGCGGUGAAAUGCGUAGAGAUUAGGAGGAACACCAGUGGCGAAGGCGGCCUGCUGGGCUUUUACUGACGCUGAGGCUCGAAAGUGUGGGGAGCAAACAGGAUUAGAUACCCCUGUAGUC